CCAAGCCGUGAGGCGGAGCUAAUCCCUUAAAGCCAUUCUCAGUUCGGAUUGUAGGCUGAAACUCGCCUACAUGAAGCUGGAGUUACUAGUAAUCGCAGAUCAGAAUGCUGCGGUGAAUGCGUUCCCGGGUCUUGUACACACCGCCCGUCACACCACGGAAGUUGGGGGCGCCCGAAGCCACUUAGCUAACCCUUUUGGGAAGCGAGUGUCGAAGGUGAAAUCAAUAACUGGGGUGAAGUCGUAACAAGGUAUC
This 253-nucleotide ribosomal RNA is filed under the name uncultured bacterium. RNAcentral's name for it is "partial 16S ribosomal RNA". It matches the Rfam family "Bacterial small subunit ribosomal RNA", at positions 1250 to 1500 of the family's 1533-position model. The record is from RNAcentral.